GCGUAGAGAUCUGGAGGAAUACCGGUGGCGAAGGCGGCCCCCUGGACGAAGACUGACGCUCAGGUGCGAAAGCGUGGGGAGCAAACAGGAUUAGAUACCCUGGUAGUCCACGCCGUAAACGAUGUCGACUUGGAGGUUGUGCCCUUGAGGCGUGGCUUCCGGAGCUAACGCGUUAAGUCGACCGCCUGGGGAGUACGGCCGCAAGGUUAAAACUCAAAUGAAUUGACGGGGGCCCGCACAAGCGGUGGAGCAUGUGGUUUAAUUCGAUGCAACGCGAAGAACCUUACCUGGUCUUGACAUCCACGGAAGUUUUCAGAGAUGAGAAUGUGCCUUCGGGAACCGUGAGACAGGUGCUGCAUGGCUGUCGUCAGCUCGUGUUGUGAAAUGUUGGGUUAAGUCCCGCAACGAGCGCAACCCUUAUCCUUUGUUGCCAGCGGUCCGGCCGGGAACUCAAAGGAGACUGCCAGUGAUAAACUGGAGGAAGGUGGGGAUGACGUCAAGUCAUCAUGGCCCUUACGACCAGGGCUACACACGUGCUACAAUGGCGCAUACAAAGAGAAGCGACCUCGCGAGAGCAAGCGGACCUCAUAAAGUGCGUCGUAGUCCGGAUUGGAGUCUGCAACUCGACUCCAUGAAGUCGGAAUCGCUAGUAAUCGUGGAUCAGAAUGCCACGGUGAAUACGUUCCCGGGCCUUGUACACACCGCCCGUCACACCAUGGGAGUGGGUUGCAAAAGAAGUAGGUAGCUUAACCUUCGGGAGGGCGCUUACCACUUUGUGAUUCAUGACUGGGGUGAAGUCGUAACAAGGUAACCGUAGGGGAACCUGCGGUUGGAUCACCUCCUUACCUUAAAGAAGC
This 857-nucleotide ribosomal RNA is filed under the name Shigella flexneri. Its description in RNAcentral is "bacterial SSU rRNA". It matches the Rfam family "Bacterial small subunit ribosomal RNA", at positions 688 to 1533 of the family's 1533-position model. The record is from RNAcentral. Lineage: Bacteria; Pseudomonadati; Pseudomonadota; Gammaproteobacteria; Enterobacterales; Enterobacteriaceae.